GACGAACGCUGGCGGCGUGCCUAAUACAUGCAAGUAGAACGCUGAAGGAGGAGCUUGCUUCUCUGGAUGAGUUGCGAACGGGUGAGUAACGCGUAGGUAACCUGCCUGGUAGCGGGGGAUAACUAUUGGAAACGAUAGCUAAUACCGCAUAAGAGUAGAUGUUGCAUGACAUUUACUUAAAAGGUGCAAUUGCAUCACUACCAGAUGGACCUGCGUUGUAUUAGCUAGUUGGUGAGGUAACGGCUCACCAAGGCAACGAUACAUAGCAGAACUGAGAGGGUGAUCGGACACACAAAGACAGAGAAACGGCCCAGACUCCUACAGGAGGCAGCAGUAGGGAAUCUUCGGAAAUGGACGGAAGUCUGACAGAGCAACGCCGCAUGAGUGAAGAAGGUAUGCGGAUCAUAAAGCUCUGUUGUAAGAGAAGAACGAGUGUGAGAGUGGAAAGUUCACAAUGUGACGGAAUCUUACAAGAAAGGGACGGAUAACUACGUGC
Molecule: ribosomal RNA, 496 nt
Filed under: uncultured bacterium
Lineage: Bacteria
Description: partial 16S ribosomal RNA
Rfam family: Bacterial small subunit ribosomal RNA
Source: RNAcentral